Molecule: RNA transcript, 1292 nt
Organism: Perognathus longimembris pacificus (Pacific pocket mouse)
Lineage: Eukaryota; Metazoa; Chordata; Mammalia; Rodentia; Heteromyidae
Gene: Tp53i3
Gene name: tumor protein p53 inducible protein 3
Exons: 5
Source: RefSeq, a predicted model, not a curated record
CGCCGCGCCGGGUCCUCCCCGCCCUCCCCCCCGCUCCCCGCGCGCCCCGUCCUCGGACACCAUGCUGGCUGUGCACUUUGAGCAGCCCGGCGGCCCCCAAGUCCUCCACCUGAAGGAGGUGGCCAAGCCCAGGCCCGCGGAGGGCGAAGUCCUCCUGAAGGUGGCGGCCAGCGCCCUGAACCGGGCGGACUUACUCCAGAGACAGGGCCAAUACGACCCACCCCCAGGAGCCAGCAGCAUUUUGGGACUGGAAGCAUCAGGACAUGUGGCAGAGUUGGGGCCUGGUUGCCAGGGGCACUGGAAGAUUGGAGACUCAGCCAUGGCGCUGCUGCCUGGCAGAGGCCAGGCACAGUACGUCACCGUCCCUGAAGAACUGCUCAUGCCCAUCCCAGAGGGUUUGACAAUGCCACAGGCUGCAGCCAUCCCAGAGGCCUGGCUCACUGCCUUCCAGCUGUUACAUCUCUGUGGACAUGUUCAGGCUGGAGACUCUGUAUUAAUCCACGCGGGAUCAAGUGGGGUGGGCACAGCUGCCAUUCAACUGGCUCGGAAGGCUGGUGCUAUUCCUCUGGUCACAGCUGGCUCCCCGCACAAGCUUCACCUGGCAGAAAGACUCGGGGCAGCUGCUGGAUUCAAUUACAAACAAGAGGAUUUCGCUGAAGCAACACUGAAGUUCACCAAAGGUGCUGGAGUUAACCUUAUCCUAGACUGCAUAGGUGGAUCUUACUGGGAGAAGAAUGUCAACUGUCUGGCCCUUGAUGGUUGCUGGGUUCUCUACGGUCUGAUGGGAGGAGCUGAUAUCAGUGGACCCCUAUUUUCAAAGUUACUUUUUAAACGAGGAAGUCUGAUCACUAGUCUGCUGAGAUCUAGGGACAAAAAGGUGAGUAAUGAGUGGGAAAAAAAGUGACAUAAACCAAUCACGAGGGGCUCAACACCUGUAAUCUCAGUACUCAGGAGGCCAAGAUAAGAGAAUAGGGGUUUGAAAUCAGGCGGACAGAUAAAUCCAAGAGAUUCUUAUCUCCAGUCAACUAGUAAAAAGCAGGAACUGGAGAUGUGCCUCAGAUGGUAGAGAAUGAAAAGGCUGAGCAAGCUCAAGAGUUCAAACCCCAGUACCAGCACACACAGAGUGAUAUAACUAUUACCCCUCCCACACCAAAGGCUUCAUUUGCAUUAUGCCCCAAAAUAAGCUUUGUCACAUCUUAAGUUAUCCUUUGAAGAAACCUGCCACUUAAUGGAUAAAUACAUAGAUUUCAGAGAACUGAUUCAAAUUGGUCAAUAGAAGCUUCAAGCAUAGC